Molecule: transfer RNA, 72 nt
Filed under: Deltaproteobacteria bacterium
Lineage: Bacteria; Pseudomonadati; Myxococcota; Myxococcia
Description: tRNA-Cys
Rfam family: tRNA
About the family: Transfer RNA (tRNA) molecules are approximately 80 nucleotides in length. Their secondary structure includes four short double-helical elements and three loops (D, anti-codon, and T loops).
Source: RNAcentral
GGCGGCGUAGCCAAGGGGUUAAGGCGUCGGUCUGCAAAGCCGAUAUCGGCGGUUCGACUCCGCCCGCCGCCU